GACGUAGGGCGCGAGCGUUGUCCGGAAUCAUUGGGCGUAAAGCGCGUGUAGGCGGCCCGGUAAGUCCGCUGUGAAAGUCGGGGGCUCAACCCUCGAAUGCCGGUGGAUACUGUCGGGCUAGAGUGCGGGAGAGGCGAGUGGAAUUCCUGGUGUAGCGGUGAAAUGCGCAGAUAUCAGGAGGAACACCGGUGGCGAAGGCGGGUCUCUGGGCCAUAACUGACGCUGAGGAGCGAAAGCGUGGGGAGCGAACAGG
This 253-nucleotide ribosomal RNA is filed under the name uncultured bacterium. Its description in RNAcentral is "partial 16S ribosomal RNA". It matches the Rfam family "Bacterial small subunit ribosomal RNA", at positions 524 to 776 of the family's 1533-position model. The record is from RNAcentral.